Malus domestica (apple) is the source of this 1156-nucleotide non-coding RNA. The record is from RefSeq and is a predicted model, not a curated record. Lineage: Eukaryota; Viridiplantae; Streptophyta; Magnoliopsida; Rosales; Rosaceae.
AACCCUUGAAACGCCCCGAACCCCAAUUCCAAGAAAAUGGAGAAAACCUUCACACUCCUUCAUACAAUUGUCACUGCAACUGUCUUCUCUGCUGUUUCCGGAUGGUACGGAUUCAUGUUCGGAAGAGAAUCUGCUCGCAAAGAACUCGGAAGUUUGAUCGAAGACCUUCGCCGCCAGAAUCCCAACUCCGAUCCGCCACAUUCACCUCCGCCUCCACAUGCUUGAAGUUGAAUUGAUUUGGGGUGCUUGGAUCAAGGUUGAUGGCAUCAAGUGGGCAGUGAGAAAAACCACCUUCAUCCAUAUAGCUUGGGACUGAGAAAAGAAAUGUCUUCAGGGCUUUCACAAAACGCUCUUCUGUGGGGGGCAUAUUUGACCAUGUUCUGAAGUCUUCUAACAUUAUCCUUGAUGGUGGAAUGUGCCGUCUUGUAGAGUUCAAAUAACAUUCGAUCCUUUUGUAUGUUGUGAGAUAGUUGUUGAAGUAUGAAUGAAUUUGGAUUGUUCUGUUUUCGAAGCCGUUUGUUUUACCUUUAUCAUUAAUGAAACUUGUUUUUCUUGUCAAAAGCAAGAAAUUGUUACGGUUCAUGCUAUUUGUCCUCGAAUUCGAAUUAAUGGAAAGCAUUCUCUGCAUUAACAAGGCAGUCUUACUUGGUUUUGAUCAGACUUUGGCUAACCAUCGUCAUGAUUUACUUAUGAACGUUGUUCUUUGCAUUUUUGAUGCAGUGUUUCCUUUAGUUUCAUCAAAAGCUAAAAUCAAGUUGCCCCAACGACCUCUCUAGCAGACAAAUUGGCUUCCACAUAUUGUUCUGGCAGUCAAACCGAGUGGCUAAGUGAUUGGGAUAAUUACCACAAUAACAUCGCCCAAGUAGUCAAUGAAUCUGUCGCGGAAGCUCCUCAUGUAAUCGGUGUAGACCUGAAUGGGAGUUCUUCCUCUGAGAACAGGCAAUGAAUCGCAUCCCAAGGAUAUGUACUCAGGAUUCCUCCUGCCUGAUUUGUCUGUGUAAACAAGGUCAGGAUUCUUGCUGAUUUCUUCAAGCACCCAUGGAGGUAGAGGAAUGCUGAAAAUUCAUAUAAUUGUGGUUUAGUGGAUCAGUGCAUAAAUCCACACUAGGUGGAGAUAGAUUAAAAACAUGACUAAUAAAUACACAGAAUUUCUCGA